Molecule: ribosomal RNA, 141 nt
Filed under: uncultured eukaryote
Lineage: Eukaryota
Description: partial 18S ribosomal RNA
Rfam family: Eukaryotic small subunit ribosomal RNA
Source: RNAcentral
UGGUGGCGUGAUUUGUCUGGUUAAUUCCGUUAACGAACGAGACCUCGACCUGCUAAUUAUGUGCCGAGCGACCUUACGGUACUCUGGUAACUUCUUAGAGGGACUACUGGUGCCAGCCAGUGGAAGUUCGAGGCAAUAACA